Molecule: long non-coding RNA, 250 nt
Filed under: Numida meleagris (helmeted guineafowl)
Lineage: Eukaryota; Metazoa; Chordata; Aves; Galliformes; Numididae
Description: lncRNA (ENSNMEG00000022982.1)
Source: RNAcentral
UAGUAUAAACCUUCUGUGUGUUUCUGUUCUGUCUUCUUCAGGCAUUAAAGGAUGUGUCUUUUUGGCUACUGCUCUGCUGGAGCUGAAGCUUUCCCAAAACUCACAGCUAAGCAGUUCAGUGUGUGUUGUGCGGGACAGCUACAGAAUUCCAAUUACUGCAACGGUUUGAAGCUGAAUGAAAAAUGGGCAGCUCUCUAGGAACAGUGCGCUGUAACAGUUGCUUUGCUGCAGAGGGAUUUGUGAAUUUUAU